This 254-nucleotide ribosomal RNA is filed under the name uncultured bacterium. Its description in RNAcentral is "partial 16S ribosomal RNA". It matches the Rfam family "Bacterial small subunit ribosomal RNA", at positions 524 to 777 of the family's 1533-position model. The record is from RNAcentral.
UACGUAGGGCGCAAGCGUUGUCCGGAAUUAUUGGGCGUAAAGGGCUCGUAGGCGGCCAACUAAGUCCGACGUGAAAUCCCAAAGCUUAACUUUGGAACUGCGUCGGAUACUGGAUGGCUUGAAUUCGGGAGAGGGAUGCAGAAUUCCAGGUGUAGCGGUGAAAUGCGUAGAGAUGUGGAGGAACACCGAUGGCGAAGGCAGCCCCCUGGGUCAAGAUUGACGCUCAUGCACGAAAGCGUGGGGAGCAAACAAGG